RNA transcript from Mauremys reevesii (Reeves's turtle), 1061 nucleotides. It is a transcript of the gene named C-type lectin domain family 17, member A-like, with no coding region annotated. Lineage: Eukaryota; Metazoa; Chordata; Testudines; Geoemydidae. The transcript is spliced from 6 exons. The record is from RefSeq and is a predicted model, not a curated record.
CUCUUUAAUUCACUAUCCAGUAAAGAUUCUGCAGGUGCCCAAACACUGUGAGGAGAAGACAACCUGGGAAUCAUGUAAAUCCUCUUCCUUCCUUCUGAUGACCAGGGAAGCCAGGUUGAAGUGGAAAAGAACUGCAAGAGAUGCUGUUUUUCGACCUUGUGUUAGCUAAGACUAGAAUGCAGACUGUAGCAGAAAUUGCUGAGAAAAAGGAAGAUCUCAGAAAGGAAGAUGUAUAAACAAAAUGCAGUUGUUGAUCAUUACUGUAUGGAACAAAAGACGCUGUCCAUCUUUCGGUGUCUGGGGAGCUGGCCGCUGUGAAGGAGUCUCACAGUAAAAUGCAAGAGGAGAUCACGGCGUUACAGAAAAGAGUAGGCGUUCUUGGUGAAGAACUGCACAAUGUCCCGGGUAUACUGGUUGGGGCUGAGUGACCAGAAAGUGGAAAAUCAAUGGCUCUGGGUGGAUGGCUCCCCUCUGAAACUCAGCUUCUGGAGCACCAGGGAGCCCAAUGACUCCAACAACGAGGACUGUGGCACCAUGGCGAUUGACGGGCGCUGGAAUGGCAUAAACAUACCUGUGGACAUACACCUUUCUCAAAUUCAUCUUUCAUGACAGAGAAUCCCCCCAGGAGCUCCUGCGUGGAGCCCAGGAACUUGGAGGGGGGUGGCCUGUGGAACUCACUGCCACCAGAAUGCCGUGCUCCAAGAAGAACGGGACAAUUAUACAGAACAGGAGACUCUCCAGGGGUACAAUAACGAGGAUUAAAAUAGAACCAAGCUACUGGGCAGGGAUCUGAGCCUUGAGCCAACUGCUACCUACUACCCGGGGAAAUAUUCCCUGGGGGCAGGCGGUCCUAGAAUCGCCCUACUAGGGGGUCUCCUUAUGGCCACCGUCGCAGACGGGAUACCGGGCUAGGUGGGCCCCUGACCUAAAGCAGGCUGGCGAUUCCUGCAUGUGAACUGGCACCAGACAACCAAGCUUCCUUUCUCUUGUUCAAUUAACCCAUUGGGCACUGGAGGGCUCCCCCCCUUUCCCAGCUCCCACUGGAAAUUCAGCCCCCUAAA